GAUGAACGCUGGCGGCGUGCCUAAUACAUGCAAGUCGAGCGAACAGACGAGGAGCUUGCUCCUCUGACGUUAGCGGCGGACGGGUGAGGAAAACGUGGAUAACCUACCUAUAAGACUGGGAUAACUUCGGGAAACCGGAGCCAAUACAGGAUAAUAUAUUGAACCGCAUGGUUCAAUAGUGAAAGACGGUGUUGCCGUCACUUAUAGAUGGAUCCGCGCCGCAUUAGCUAGUUGGUAAGGUAACGGCUUACCAAGGCAACGAUGCGUAGCCGACAUGAUAGGGUGGUCGGCCACACUGGAACUGAGACACGGUCCAGACUCCUACGGGAGGCAGCAGUAGGGAAUCUUCCGCAAUGGGCGAGAGCCUGACGGAGCAACGCCGCGUGAGUGAUGAAGGUCUUCGGAUCGUAGAACUCUGUUAUUAGGGAAGAACAAAUGUGUAAGUAACUAUGCACAUCUUGACGGUACCUAAUCAGAAAGCCACGGCUAACUACGUG
RNAcentral lists this ribosomal RNA (497 nucleotides) under uncultured bacterium. Its description in RNAcentral is "partial 16S ribosomal RNA". It matches the Rfam family "Bacterial small subunit ribosomal RNA", at positions 28 to 507 of the family's 1533-position model. The record is from RNAcentral.